RNAcentral lists this transfer RNA (72 nucleotides) under Ictidomys tridecemlineatus (thirteen-lined ground squirrel). Its description in RNAcentral is "Spermophilus tridecemlineatus (thirteen-lined ground squirrel) tRNA". It matches the Rfam family "tRNA". Rfam says of the family: Transfer RNA (tRNA) molecules are approximately 80 nucleotides in length. Their secondary structure includes four short double-helical elements and three loops (D, anti-codon, and T loops). The record is from Rfam by way of RNAcentral. Lineage: Eukaryota; Metazoa; Chordata; Mammalia; Rodentia; Sciuridae.
GGGGUUGUAGCUUAGUGGUAAAGCAUUUGCCUAGCAAGUGCGAGACCCUGGGUUCGAUCCUCAGCAUCACAU